CUGACGGAGCAACGCCGCGUGAGUGAUGAAAGCUUUCUGGGUCGUAAAACUCUGUUGUUAGGGAAGAACAAGUGCUAGUUGAAUAAGCUGGCACCUUGACGGUACCUAACCAGAAAGCCACGGCUAACUACGUGCCAGCAGCCGCGGUAAUACGUAGGUGGCAAGCGUUAUCCGGAAUUAUUGGGCGUAAAGCGCGCGCAGGUGGUUUCUUAAGUCUGAUGUGAAAGCCCACGGCUCAACCGUGGAGGGUCAUUGGAAACUGGGAGACUUGAGUGCAGAAGAGGAAAGUGAAAUUCCAUGUGUACCGGUGAAAUGCGUAAAGAUAUGGAGGAACACCAGUGGCGAAGGCGACUUUCUGGUCUGUAACUGACACUGAGGCGCGAAAGCGUGGGGAGCAAACAGGAUUAGAUACCCUGGUAGUCCACGCCGUAAACAAUGAGUGCUAAGUGUUAGAGGGUUUCCGCCCUUUAGUGCUGAAGUUAACGCAUUAAGCACUCCGCCUGGGGAGUACGGCCGCAAGGCUGACACUCAUAGGAUUUGACGGGGGCCCGCACAAGCGGUGGAGCAUGUGGUUUAAUUCAAAGCAACGCGAAGAACCUUACCAGGUCUUGACAUCCUCUGAAAACCCUAGAGA
This 634-nucleotide ribosomal RNA is filed under the name Bacillus thuringiensis. RNAcentral describes it as "bacterial SSU rRNA". It matches the Rfam family "Bacterial small subunit ribosomal RNA", at positions 383 to 1006 of the family's 1533-position model. Lineage: Bacteria; Bacillati; Bacillota; Bacilli; Caryophanales; Bacillaceae. The record is from RNAcentral.